CUACGGGGCGCAGCAGUGGGGAAUCUUGGACAAUGGGCGCAAGCCUGAUCCAGCCAUGCCGCGUGAGUGAAGAAGGCCUUAGGGUCGUAAAGCUCUUUCGCCAGAGAUGAUAAUGACAGUAUCUGGUAAAGAAACCCCGGCUAACUCCGUGCCAGCAGCCGCGGUAAUACGGAGGGGGUUAGCGUUGUUCGGAAUUACUGGGCGUAAAGCGCGCGUAGGCGGAUUAGUCAGUCAGAGGUGAAAUCCCAGGGCUCAAACCUGGAACUGCCUUUGAUACCGCUAGUCUUGAGUUCGAGAGAGGUGAGUGGAAUUCCGAGUGUAGAGGUGAAAUUCGUAGAUAUUCGGAGGAACACCAGUGGCGAAGGCGGCUCACUGGCUCGAUACUGACGCUGAGGUGCGAAAGUGUGGGGAGCAAACAGGAUUAGAUACCCUUGUAGUC
RNAcentral lists this ribosomal RNA (439 nucleotides) under uncultured bacterium. RNAcentral describes it as "partial 16S ribosomal RNA". It matches the Rfam family "Bacterial small subunit ribosomal RNA", at positions 339 to 795 of the family's 1533-position model. The record is from RNAcentral.